Long non-coding RNA from Lutra lutra (Eurasian river otter), 1187 nucleotides. RefSeq lists it as uncharacterized. The record is from RefSeq and is a predicted model, not a curated record. Lineage: Eukaryota; Metazoa; Chordata; Mammalia; Carnivora; Mustelidae. The transcript has 2 exons.
CCUCUUCUUCUGCCUUUCCCGCUGCUUGUGUGCUCUCUCUCAAAUAAAUAAAAUCUUUCUUUCUCUCAAAUAAAUAAAAUCUUAAAAAAAAAAAAGGCGGGGGGGAUGUCUCUGUACUGGCAAAUUCACACGAAGUGUUCACAGUGUGCCAGGCCGUAUUCUCCAAACCUUAGUACGUAUUAACGCCUUUUCUCCCCUGUGAGGUAGGUAUUGUCAACAUCCCCAUCUCACAGAUGAGGCGGCGCACUGAGUUCCAGCAGCUUGCCCACCGCCACGCUAAGAGAGCGGCCGAGCUGGGUCCUGGCCCCGAGCAGCCCGGCCACUUCGCUCCCCCGGAAGCUCCGUCCAGUUUUCCGAUGCUCCUGCCAGCGGGAAGUCCGGGAUGUUACCCGCACUGAGCGGUUUGUCAGAAAGUCAGCCUCGGUGCGGCGGGGGUGUGUGGGGCGUGGAAGGGCAGCCUCGAUGUCUGAGUGCUCUGUCAUCCUUGUGUGGUGUUCAUUCAGCAUACCACUGAGGUGGUGGUGGGUUAGCACUAACUGCCCCCCGGUGUUUUCAUUCCGCAGGUUCUGUUGUGCGGGAGGCUCCCGGGGCAGCUAGCCAGGCCAGUGUUCCCGCAGCGGUUGGUACCAUCGCUCCCGGCACCACCCGAAGAGCCGCCUCGGGGAAUGCAGAGUUCCCGUUCGCAAAGGCUAGAGCUUUCCUCCCCCACCAAGGAUGGGCCUCUGCAGAGGAACACGGGAAACCAAGUAUGGAGUCUUGAAAGCGCUCCCUUGUGUGGUGCGUACAACCGCACAGUUAACCAGGCUAUCGGUCAGCAGGAGAGCAUGUACAGGAGAGCUUUCCAGGUAGAGACUACAGCAUCCAAGGAGGAAAGGUCUGUUCUUCAGUCUUAGGUGAGUGACAAAAAGAUUAACCGGCAUCUUGUCAGAAUGUCUACUUGUGGACUAAAACAAAGGACACAUUCCCACUAGAACAGAAAUAAAUUUUAAUUUGUUGAAAAGUGCAGCAGUGAACAGGGUCUUUUGAAGGGCACUUUCUAAGUCAGGUGACUGAGAUGACACAAAGCCAGGGCAGAGUAACUUUUAGGAACAGAUGACACAAACACAGGAAUUCACAGAGGUCAUGGGACCUAAGUGGUCAAAGUAAAGAACCCAAAUACUCCAUCUAAUUCAUUGGUGGAUCAAUGG